RNAcentral lists this ribosomal RNA (253 nucleotides) under uncultured bacterium. RNAcentral's name for it is "partial 16S ribosomal RNA". It matches the Rfam family "Bacterial small subunit ribosomal RNA", at positions 524 to 776 of the family's 1533-position model. The record is from RNAcentral.
UACGACGGGGGCUAGCGUUGUUCGGAAUUACUGGGCGUAAAGCGCACGUAGGCGGAUUGUUAAGUUAGGGGUGAAAUCCCGGGGCUCAACCCCGGAACUGCCUUUAAUACUGGCAAUCUCGAGUCCGAGAGAGGUGAGUGGAAUUCCGAGUGUAGAGGUGAAAUUCGUAGAUAUUCGGAGGAACACCAGUGGCGAAGGCGGCUCACUGGCUCGGUACUGACGCUGAGGUGCGAAAGCGUGGGGAGCAAACAGG